GUAGCAUAGUCAUUUGCUUCUUAAUUGGUAGCUGGAAUGAAUGGUUAAACUAAUUUACUUAGUUUGUAGGCUAAAUAGGAGGUUUAAGUGAAGGUAAGAAUUCCUUUAUUUUCUAGGGGACGAUAAGACCCUGGAAGCUUGAUUAGUUGAAAAUUUUUAAUGAUUACAUAAAGUUGGUUUAACUGGGGCGGUAGUAUUACGCAAACUAUUAUAAAAUUGAUAGAUCCUGUAACAUGCAGAUAAAGCGGAAUAGUUACUCCAGGGAUAACAGUACAAUAUGCUUGGAGAGAUCUUAUCGAUAAGUAGGUUUGUAACCUCGAUGUUGAAUUAAUGUGUCUGCGUGGUGCAGUAGGUGCGUAAGAAGGUUUGUUCAACCUUUAAAAUUUU
This 387-nucleotide ribosomal RNA is filed under the name Gammarus nipponensis. Its description in RNAcentral is "partial 16S ribosomal RNA". It matches the Rfam family "Bacterial large subunit ribosomal RNA", at positions 1956 to 2597 of the family's 2925-position model. Lineage: Eukaryota; Metazoa; Arthropoda; Malacostraca; Amphipoda; Gammaridae. The record is from RNAcentral.